Long non-coding RNA from Thunnus maccoyii (southern bluefin tuna), 564 nucleotides. RefSeq lists it as uncharacterized. The record is from RefSeq and is a predicted model, not a curated record. Lineage: Eukaryota; Metazoa; Chordata; Actinopteri; Scombriformes; Scombridae. The transcript is spliced from 4 exons.
AAGUUAAGACACACCCCCUGUUUACUUCCUUGUUUGCCUACUGCUGCUUUGAACCCUGAUAAAAAAAAAACUGAAAUAGGUCAAAAAUGCUCAUUUUUAUUGUCUAAAAGCCAUGUAACCAAUCAUAAAUAAGUUCAACAUUACUCCUGAUUCUACACAUGUGAAUGCCUGAAGUUUGCUUUUGUAUCCAAUCAACUCUAAACUCACCACAGCUGCUGUUGUCUGCAACUUCUUGCUACCACCUUUCAAGCCCACACGAGGUACGCAGAGAUGAUGACUUUCAGUUACGGUAACCAGAACAAAAGAUCCAACUGACCAAAUGAACCCAGGUGCAGAAGGGUCACGACACUCUUCCCAUUGAACGACAAAAAUCUUCAUCUGUUUCAAGUAAGUGUGGUGGCUAGCUGAAUCCAGAGCCCGUCUUGGGGAGGAGAACAAAUCGGCUCCUUCAUGGCCCAGUGAACCAUCGACUCGGUAACCAGCGGAGUCCGUCAGAUAGAAAAGAUGCAUGGUGCUUUAAACCAUUGCAGGCCUCUGCUCCCCCCCCCCCCCCCCCCCCACCCG